RNAcentral lists this long non-coding RNA (520 nucleotides) under Spirodela polyrhiza (greater duckweed). Its description in RNAcentral is "long non-coding RNA (SPOL_LNC000539)". The record is from RNAcentral. Lineage: Eukaryota; Viridiplantae; Streptophyta; Magnoliopsida; Alismatales; Araceae.
GUCACCCACCAGACUUCUAACUUUUGCAUUGCAAGGUUGUAAAACUUGUAGGUUCAUAAUCAAUUUUUACUUUCAUGUAAAAUUUGAUGAGAAACCAUUAGCUCUAAAAAUAUAUUGGAGACCUAUUUACAUGCUUUUUAUAAUAAAAUAGUUAGGUAACAAGCAACAUGUGUAUUAUGGGUAAAUGGUGUUAUAACAUAACACUUUGAUUGUUAAAUGCUAUUGUCUUAUUUCCAUUUUUUAAUGUUAUUUUAAUUUUUCCUCUUAUGCUUUAUUUAUCUCAGAUUAGUACUUUGCACAGACUUUAGAGCUAGACUCACUAUAUCAUGCAUGAGAGAUCCAAACAUGACCCAACUAGACUUAUCAUAUAAGGGCCUUCAUGGCCAAAUUUGAAAAUAAAUAACUCUUUUUCUUUUAGAAACCUUAGCCCUCUUUCAUCUGAGAACAUCAUGGUUAGAGGAGAUCACUUGAUUUAUCAUGUAAUAUCUUACAUGGUAUCAAAGCUAUAUUUUUUUUUUGU